Molecule: ribosomal RNA, 526 nt
Filed under: uncultured bacterium
Lineage: Bacteria
Description: bacterial SSU rRNA
Rfam family: Bacterial small subunit ribosomal RNA
Source: RNAcentral
CGACGAAUCUUCCGCAAUGGGCGCAAGCCUGACGGAGCGACGCCGCGUGUGGGAUGAAGCGUCUUCGACGUGUAAACCACUGUCAGGGGGCAGAACCAAUGAUCGCCCCCAAAGGAAGAGACGGCUAACCCUGUGCCAGCAGCCGCGGUAAGACAGGGGUCUCGAGCGUUAAUCGGAAUUACUGGGCUUAAAGGGUGCGUAGGCCGGCCCGCAAGUGCUUUGUGAAAUCCCCCGGCUCAACCGGGGAACAGCUUGGCAUACUGCGGGUCUUGAGGAAGGCAGGGGUCGCCAGAACUGUAGGUGGAGCGGUGAAAUGCGUAGAUAUCUACAGGAAUGCCGAUGGUGAAGACGGGCGACUGGGCCUUUCCUGACGCUGAGGCACGAAAGCGUGGGGAGCAAACAGGAUUAGAUACCCUGGUAGUCCACGCCGUAAACGAUGCGCGCUAGAUCGGGGCGGCUCUGACGCCGUCUCGGUCGAAGUAAAAACGCUAAGCGCGCCGCCUGGGAAGUACGGUCGCAAGGCUAA